AGACCCGAAACCCGGUGAUCUAGCCAUGGGCAGGUUGAAGGUUGGGUAACACUAACUGGAGGACCGAACCGACUAAUGUUGAAAAAUUAGCGGAUGACCUGUGGCUGGGGGUGAAAGGCCAAUCAAACCGGGAGAUAGCUGGUUCUCCCCGAAAGCUAUUUAGGUAGCGCCUCGUGAAUUCAUCUCCGGGGGUAGAGCACUGUUUCGGCUAGGGGGCCAUCCCGGCUUACCAACCCGAUGCAAACUGCGAAUACCGGAGAAUGUUAUCACGGGAGACACACGGCGGGUGCUAACGUCCGUCGUGAAGAGGGAAACAACCCAGACCGCCAGCUAAGGUCCCAAAGUCAUGGUUAAGUGGGAAACGAUGUGGGAAGGCCCAGACAGCCAGGAUGUUGGCUUAGAAGCAGCCAUCAUUUAAAGAAAGCGUAAUAGCUCACUGGUCGAGUCGGCCUGCGCGGAAGAUGUAACGGGGCUAAACCAUGCACCGAAGCUGCGGCAGCGACACUGUGUGUUGUUGGGUAGGGGAGCGUUCUGUAAGCCUGCGAAGGUGGCCUGUGAGGGUUGCUGGAGGUAUCAGAAGUGCGAAUGCUGACAUAAGUAACGAUAAAGCGGGUGAAAAGCCCGCUCGCCGGAAGACCAAGGGUUCCUGUCCAACGUUAAUCGGGGCAGGGUGAGUCGACCCCUAAGGCGAGGCCGAAAGGCGUAGUCGAUGGGAAACGGGUUAAUAUUCCCGUACUUGGUGUUACUGCGAAGGGGGGACGGAGAAGGCUAUGUUGGCCGGGCGACGGUUGUCCCGGUUUAAGCGUGUAGGCUGGUUUUCCAGGCAAAUCCGG
Molecule: ribosomal RNA, 833 nt
Filed under: Salmonella enterica
Lineage: Bacteria; Pseudomonadati; Pseudomonadota; Gammaproteobacteria; Enterobacterales; Enterobacteriaceae
Also listed under: 2 other names
Description: partial 23S ribosomal RNA
Rfam family: Bacterial large subunit ribosomal RNA
Source: RNAcentral